GGACUGUAAAAACUUUUAUAAGAAAUAUGUUUAUUGAAAUCAGGUUUUGAUUUAAAAUAUUCUGACAAUAUUUCGUUUUAAACAAUAAAAAUGUCAAAAAUAGAAACAUAGCAUAGCUAGAAGCCUACAUAGAUGGUUGCAUGUCCUUGACCCUGAUGUAACAAAAUAUACACAUUUUUUUUUAGUUACUUAAAUCUAGCCUUUACCCAAUCAAAACUUUAAGAAUGAUCUCAUUGACAAUACAUUUGAAACCACACAUUUAAUCAUGCAAUAAUGAAUUCAUACAAAAAAGGAAUAUAAUUUAUUUUUUUUUAAAUUGUGAAAACUUAAACAAACAAACAAAAAGAAAAGAAACAAAAAAUGUUUUAGGCACUUAAUUGAAUGCCAGAUACACCAAUUCACUGUGACAAACUUUAUUGUACAUCAAAAUAGAAAGAAUGGAAUUGGACCCAAACAUAUAAACAAAUACAAAUAAAACAAUGGAAAAUGUUAUCAUUCAAUAAAGUUUGUGAUAAAAAAGAAGACAUAGCCACCAAAAAGCAGCUCAUGACAAGGGUUCUUAAUUAAUUAAUAGUAAUUAUUUUAAUUAUUUUUUUUCAUUCUUUGAAUACAUCUUUUUUAUUAGCUAUGACAUGCAGAAUUUAUAAAUUGAAAAAUAAGACGAGAUGUGAUGUGGUGAUAGAUAAAAUGUUAAGAACCCCUGGCUACUGAUUUGCAGCAUACACCAGUCUCACCAAGUGAUUCAUUUUACAAACAUGAUUAACUUGCAUUCCCAUAUUUUUCAAAAUAUAUGUUUACAAACUGGCAUAAGAGGUACAUCACUAAUAAAUUAGGACUAACAGAUAAUAAAUGCAUUAGAUUUCACAGACGGUAUACAUAUGUCAGUGACACAAUGGAGCUUACACACUAUUUCAGAAUCCUAUAACAACCAAAUUGUAUAUUAAAAUACCUGUUAGAAUGGCAUUGCUUUGGGAGGAAGUACUAAGCUAUUAAUGCUAUUGUUGGUUACUUUGAAAGAAAUGUCCAUGACAAUGCCCAUUAAAAAAUAAUUUUAAAAUGAAUAAAACUUUGGAAUCCAUCUUGAACCAGCAAAGCAAUAACAAUAUCUGGAAGUGUGAGUAACAUACAUUUUUGAAAGGGGUCCUAACCCAAGAAAAGUUGGGAAAUAUUAAACCUGUAUAACUGAAUGCACCAUAAAUAGAUAGAAUUUAAAUUUGGCAUGCCUCAUAUAUAUAAUGCCUGGUCGCAAUUUAAUAAUCAAAUCCAGAACUAUGACAGUGUUAAUUUAACAAUGGAAUGGUGGAAACAAGUUGAGCUUUGUAAUGUUUCAAAAGUUAAGAGGAAAUUUUUUUUUUUUUAUAUACCUUGUAACUCACUUUAAUAACAAAGGUUGAAAAAGAAGCUUUGUGAAAAAAAUAAUUAAGCUAAAAAAAAAGGUUUGGUCAAAAUGUUUUGGAUUCUUUUGGAAUGCAGAAGAAAAAUGAUUGGAAAUUUCUGAUGUUAUUAACAAAGUAUUGUAUAGGAGUAUAAAAGUCUAUUCUUGUACAAUAAACAAAAGCAAAAACAUGAUGAAAUUUAAACACUUACCUAUAUGAAGUUGACAAAGAAAGUUAAACUUGGUAUGACAAAUGAUUUUAAACAUAAAUGGUUAACAAAAAAAAAAAAAAAAGGUGAAA
Molecule: non-coding RNA, 1676 nt
Organism: Biomphalaria pfeifferi
Lineage: Eukaryota; Metazoa; Mollusca; Gastropoda; Planorbidae
Source: the annotation of a GenBank genome assembly